This 633-nucleotide ribosomal RNA is filed under the name uncultured bacterium. RNAcentral describes it as "bacterial SSU rRNA". It matches the Rfam family "Bacterial small subunit ribosomal RNA", at positions 293 to 917 of the family's 1533-position model. The record is from RNAcentral.
UGAGAGGGUGAUCGGCCACACUGGAACUGAGACACGGUCCAGACUCCUACGGGAGGCAGCAGUAGGGAAUCUUCCGCAAUGGGCGAAAGCCUGACGGAGCAACGCCGCGUGAGUGAUGAAGGUCUUCGGAUCGUAAAACUCUGUUAUUAGGGAAGAACAUAUGUGUAAGUAACUGUGCACAUCUUGACGGUACCUAAUCAGAAAGCCACGGCUAACUACGUGCCAGCAGCCGCGGUAAUACGUAGGUGGCAAGCGUUAUCCGGAAUUAUUGGGCGUAAAGCGCGCGUAGGCGGUUUUUUAAGUCUGAUGUGAAAGCCCACGGCUCAACCGUGGAGGGUCAUUGGAAACUGGAAAACUUGAGUGCAGAAGAGGAAAGUGGAAUUCCAUGUGUAGCGGUGAAAUGCGCAGAGAUAUGGAGGAACACCAGUGGCGAAGGCGACUUUCUGGUCUGUAACUGACGCUGAUGUGCGAAAGCGUGGGGAUCAAACAGGAUUAGAUACCCUGGUAGUCCACGCCGUAAACGAUGAGUGCUAAGUGUUAGGGGGUUUCCGCCCCUUAGUGCUGCAGCUAACGCAUUAAGCACUCCGCCUGGGGAGUACGACCGCAAGGUUGAAACUCAAAGGAAUUGACGGG